Molecule: unclassified non-coding RNA, 26 nt
Filed under: Mus musculus (house mouse)
Lineage: Eukaryota; Metazoa; Chordata; Mammalia; Rodentia; Muridae
Description: oocyte_clustered_small_RNA13815
Source: RNAcentral
UUGGCUCAGGUGAAGGCUGAUGAAGC